AUGGUUGUCGUCAGCUCGUGUCGUGAGAUGUUCGGUUAAGUCCUGCAACGAGCGCAACCCUUGUCCUUAGUUAGAUGAUCUAAGGAGACUGCCCGAGUAAUUGGGAGGAAGGUGGGGACGACGUCAAAUCAUCAUGCCUCUUACGAGUGGGGCCACACACGUGCUACAAUGGACGGUACAAAGAGAAGCAAAACGGCGACGUCAAGCAAAUCUCAAAAAACCGUUCUCAGUUCGGAUUGUAGUCUGCAACUCGACUACAUGAAGUCGGAAUCGCUAGUAAUCGUAGAUCAGCUACGCUACGGUGAAUACGUUCUCGGGUCUUGUACACACCGCCCGUCACACCAUGGGAGCUGGUAAUGCCCGAAGUCGGUUUUGUUAACUACGGAAACAACCGCCUAAGGCAGGACUGGUGACUGGGGUGAAGUCGUAACAAGGUAUCCCUACGAGAACGUGGGGAUGGAUUACCUCCUUUCUA
RNAcentral lists this ribosomal RNA (475 nucleotides) under Mycoplasmopsis gallopavonis. Its description in RNAcentral is "bacterial SSU rRNA". It matches the Rfam family "Bacterial small subunit ribosomal RNA", at positions 1045 to 1533 of the family's 1533-position model. The record is from RNAcentral. Lineage: Bacteria; Bacillati; Mycoplasmatota; Mycoplasmoidales; Metamycoplasmataceae.